CUUUCGGAGAGUUUGAUCCUGGCUCAGGACGAACGCUGGCGGCGUGCCUAAUACAUGCAAGUCGAGCGGAGUCAAUGAGAAGCUUGCUUCUCUGAGACUUAGCGGCGGACGGGUGAGUAACACGUAGGUAACCUGCCCAUAAGAU
This 145-nucleotide non-coding RNA is filed under the name Paenibacillus sp. TCA20. RNAcentral describes it as "Bacterial small subunit ribosomal RNA". It matches the Rfam family "Bacterial small subunit ribosomal RNA", at positions 1 to 138 of the family's 1533-position model. Lineage: Bacteria; Bacillati; Bacillota; Bacilli; Caryophanales; Paenibacillaceae. The record is from Rfam by way of RNAcentral.